AGACGGUACCUAAUAAAAUAAUAAAUUGGUGGUUGGUGCAGUUAAAGAUUAAUUUUUCAAAAAUUGAAGGCAUUGUUGACGAUGUAGACUUCUGUGUCAAGCUGGCCAAAGAAGAAUCCGUAGUUCUACUUCCUGGUGCGACUGUUGGGCUAAAGAAUUGGAUUCGAAUCACAUAUGUUGUUGAUCCUUCUGCUCUCAAAGAGGGCCUUUCAAGGAUCAAAUCUUUCAGCCUUCGCCAUGCCAUCCAGUUGCCAUAAACAAAACAAUAUCCAUAUCAAUAAUUUGUUGUGAGUUUUAGCUUUUAAGGAAAGUUAUAGUAAUUUACAAAUGUAUCCUAAGUGUAGAAAUUAAAGGUUGGCAAUAUCGUCAAUUUGACAAGUGAGUCUAGCUAGCCAGAUUUUUGUCAAGAAUUUUCCUUACUAAUUGCAAAUAUAUGUUGAAAUUAGAGAGGUAAUGUGCUGUGUGCUUGUGACAUCCUACCACACUGUUUUGCUUUCACAUGGAUAUGAUAUGAUAUUAUGCUAUGAUGCCACUUAGGGUGAAAAUAGACCAAUCGAGCUGAGUAUUAAUUUAGACUAAUUUGGCCUAUGUUAUAAAUAUAUAGCUCAAGUUUAGGU
Non-coding RNA from Arachis ipaensis, 617 nucleotides. The record is from RefSeq and is a predicted model, not a curated record. NCBI's taxonomy places the organism in Eukaryota, Viridiplantae, Streptophyta, Magnoliopsida, Fabales, Fabaceae.